This 458-nucleotide ribosomal RNA is filed under the name uncultured bacterium. RNAcentral's name for it is "partial 16S ribosomal RNA". It matches the Rfam family "Bacterial small subunit ribosomal RNA", at positions 29 to 523 of the family's 1533-position model. The record is from RNAcentral.
AAUGAACGCUGGCGGCGUGUCUUAAGCAUGCAAGUCGUGCGGCAAGGGUAGCAAUACCCCUAGAGCGGCGGACUGGUGAGUAACGCGUGGGUGAUCUGCCCAUCUCUGGGGAAUAACGUUUGGAAACGAACGCUAAUACCGCAUACGCCCGCAAGGGGAAAGAUUUAUCGGAGAUGGAUGAGCACGCGUUGGAUUAGUUAGUUGGUGGGGUAACGGCCUACCAAGGCGAUGAUCCAUAGCUGGUCUGAGAGGACGAUCAGCCACGCUGGAACUGAGAUACGGUCCAGACUCAGACGGGAGGCAGCAGCGAAUAAUAUUGGGCAAUGGAGGAAACUCUGACCCAGCCAUGCCGCGUGAAUGAAGAAGGCCUUCGGGUUAUAAAGUUCUUUUAGUCGUGACGAUGAUGACGGUAGCGACAGAAAAAGCACCGGCUAACUUCGUGCCAGCCGCCGCCGUAA